Molecule: non-coding RNA, 22 nt
Filed under: Arabidopsis thaliana (thale cress)
Lineage: Eukaryota; Viridiplantae; Streptophyta; Magnoliopsida; Brassicales; Brassicaceae
Source: RNAcentral
UGGGACUAUAUGUUUACAUAGG